UUCUUAUCAAGAGUGGUGGAGGGACUGGCCCUGUGAAACCCAGCAACCUGUAAUAGGAUUAAAUGAUAAGUCUAAUUUGUAUUAGACAAAAUUUUAUUCUUAUUAAGUUUGGUGCUAAAUCCUGCAGCUUUUUAGCUGAUAGAUGAGAG
Clostridium sp. 7_2_43FAA is the source of this 149-nucleotide regulatory RNA element. It matches the Rfam family "SAM riboswitch aptamer (S box leader)". Rfam says of the family: The SAM riboswitch is found upstream of a number of genes which code for proteins involved in methionine or cysteine biosynthesis in Gram-positive bacteria. The SAM riboswitch acts at the level of transcription termination control. The predicted structure consists of a complex stem-loop region followed by a single stem loop terminator region. Lineage: Bacteria; Bacillati; Bacillota; Clostridia; Eubacteriales; Clostridiaceae. The record is from Rfam.